GGAGAGAUGGCUGAGUGGUCGAAAGCGCUUGCCUGCUAAGCAAGUAUCUUGGGAAACCGGGAUCGAGGGUUCGAAUCCCUCUCUCUCCGCCA
Molecule: transfer RNA, 92 nt
Filed under: Candidatus Babelota bacterium
Lineage: Bacteria
Description: tRNA-Ser
Rfam family: tRNA
About the family: Transfer RNA (tRNA) molecules are approximately 80 nucleotides in length. Their secondary structure includes four short double-helical elements and three loops (D, anti-codon, and T loops).
Source: RNAcentral